GAGUUUGAUCGUGGCUCAGAUUGAACGCUGGCGGCAUGCCUUACACAUGCAAGUCGAACGGCAGCAUGAUCUAGCUUGCUAGAUUGAUGGCGAGUGGCGAACGGGUGAGUAAUACAUCGGAACGUGCCCUGUAGUGGGGGAUAACUAGUCGAAAGAUUAGCUAAUACCGCAUACGACCUGAGGGUGAAAGUGGGGGACCGCAAGGCCUCAUGCUAUAGGAGCGGCCGAUGUCUGAUUAGCUAGUUGGUAGGGUAAAGGCCCACCAAGGCGACGAUCAGUAGCUGGUCUGAGAGGACGAUCAGCCACACUGGGACUGAGACACGGCCCAGACUCCUACGGGAGGCAGCAGUGGGGAAUUUGGACAAUGGGCGAAAGCCUGAUCCAGCAAUGCCGCGUGUGUGAAGAAGGCCUCGGUGU
Molecule: ribosomal RNA, 417 nt
Filed under: uncultured microorganism
Description: bacterial SSU rRNA
Rfam family: Bacterial small subunit ribosomal RNA
Source: RNAcentral